UGCAAGUCGACGAUGAUGCCCAGCUUGCUGGGUGGAUUAGUGGCGAACGGGUGAGUAACACGUGAGUAACCUGCCCCUGACUCUGGGAUAAGCGUUGGAAACGACGUCUAAUACUGGAUAUGAUCACUGGCCGCAUGGUCUGGUGGUGGAAAGAUUUUUUGGUUGGGGAUGGACUCGCGGCCUAUCAGCUUGUUGGUGAGGUAAUGGCUCACCAAGGCGACGACGGGUAGCCGGCCUGAGAGGGUGACCGGCCACACUGGGACUGAGACACGGCCCAGACUCCUACGGGAGGCAGCAGUGGGGAAUAUUGCACAAUGGGCGAAAGCCUGAUGCAGCAACGCCGCGUGAGGGAUGACGGCCUUCGGGUUGUAAACCUCUUUUAGUAGGGAAGAAGCGAAAGUGACGGUACCUGCAGAAAAAGCACCGGCUAACUACGUGCCAGCAGCCGCGGUAAUACGUAGGGUGCAAGCGUUGUCCGGAAUUAUUGGGCGUAAAGAGCUCGUAGGCGGUUUGUCGCGUCUGCUGUGAAAUCCCGAGGCUCAACCUCGGGCUUGCAGUGGGUACGGGCAGACUAGAGUGCGGUAGGGGAGAUUGGAAUUCCUGGUGUAGCGGUGGAAUGCGCAGAUAUCAGGAGGAACACCGAUGGCGAAGGCAGAUCUCUGGGCCGUAACUGACGCUGAGGAGCGAAAGCAUGGGGAGCGAACAGGAUUAGAUACCCUGGUAGUCCAUGCCGUAAACGUUGGGCGCUAGAUGUAGGGACCUUUCCACGGUUUCUGUGUCGUAGCUAACGCAUUAAGCGCCCCGCCUGGGGAGUACGGCCGCAAGGCUAAAACUCAAAGGAAUUGACGGGGGCCCGCACAAGCGGCGGAGCAUGCGGAUUAAUUCGAUGCAACGCGAAGAACCUUACCAAGGCUUGACAUACACCGGAAACGGCCAGAGAUGGUCGCCCCCUUGUGGUCGGUGUACAGGUGGUGCAUGGUUGUCGUCAGCUCGUGUCGUGAGAUGUUGGGUUAAGUCCCGCAACGAGCGCAACCCUCGUUCUAUGUUGCCAGCGGGUUAUGCCGGGGACUCAUAGGAGACUGCCGGGGUCAACUCGGAGGAAGGUGGGGAUGACGUCAAAUCAUCAUGCCCCUUAUGUCUUGGGCUUCACGCAUGCUACAAUGGCCGGUACAAAGGGCUGCGAUACCGUAAGGUGGAGCGAAUCCCAAAAAGCCGGUCUCAGUUCGGAUUGAGGUCUGCAACUCGACCUCAUGAAGUCGGAGUCGCUAGUAAUCGCAGAUCAGCAACGCUGCGGUGAAUACGUUCCCGGGCCUUGUACACACCGCCCGUCAAGUCAUGAAAGUCGGUAACACCCGAAGCCGGUGGCCUAACCCUUGUGGAAGGAGCCG
This 1388-nucleotide ribosomal RNA is filed under the name Curtobacterium flaccumfaciens. RNAcentral describes it as "bacterial SSU rRNA". It matches the Rfam family "Bacterial small subunit ribosomal RNA". Lineage: Bacteria; Bacillati; Actinomycetota; Actinomycetes; Micrococcales; Microbacteriaceae. The record is from RNAcentral.